CCUACGGGUGGCAGCAGUGAGGAAUAUUUGUCAAUGGGGGAAACCCUGAAGCAGCAACGCCGCGUGGAGGAUGAAGGUUUUCGGAUUGUAAACUCCUUUUGUUAGAGAAGAUAAUGACGGUAUCUAACGAAUAAGCACCGUGUAACUCCGUGCCAGCAGCCGCGGUAAUACGGAGGGUGCAAGCGUUACUCGGAAUCCCUGGGCGUAAAGAGCGCGUAGGCGGGAUAGCAAGUCAGAUGUGAAAUCCUAGGGCUUAACCAUCGAAGUGCAUUUGAAACUGCUAUUCUAGAGUAUGGGAGAGGUAGGUGGAAUGCGUGGUGUAGGGGUAAAAUCCGUAGAGAUCAAGCAGAAUACUGAUUGCGAAGGCGACGUGCCAGAACAUAACUGACGCUGAUGCGCGAAAGCGUGGGGAGCGAACAGGAUUAGAUACCCCAGUAGUC
Molecule: ribosomal RNA, 440 nt
Filed under: uncultured bacterium
Lineage: Bacteria
Description: partial 16S ribosomal RNA
Rfam family: Bacterial small subunit ribosomal RNA
Source: RNAcentral